UGGGGAAUUUUGGACAAUGGGGGCAACCCUGAUCCAGCAAUGCCGCGUGUGUGAAGAAGGCCUUCGGGUUGUAAAGCACUUUUAGUGGGGAAGAAAGGCUCAAGGCUAAUACCUUUGAGCGUUGACGUUAUCCACAGAAAAAGCACCGGCUAACUCUGUGCCAGCAGCCGCGGUAAUACAGAGGGUGCUAGCGUUAAUCGGAAUUACUGGGCGUAAAGCGCAUGUAGGCGGACAUUUAAGUCGGAUGUGAAAGCCCCGGGCUCAACCUGGGAAUUGCAUUCGAUACUGAAUGUCUAGAGUAUGAUAGAGGAGAGUGGAACUUCCGGUGUAGCGGUGAAAUGCGUAGAUAUCGGAAAGAACACCAGUGGCGAAGGCGGCUCUCUGGAUCAAUACUGACGCUAAAGUGCGAAAGCGUGGGGAGCAAACAGGAUUAGAUACCCCCGUAGUCC
Molecule: ribosomal RNA, 449 nt
Filed under: uncultured bacterium
Lineage: Bacteria
Description: bacterial SSU rRNA
Rfam family: Bacterial small subunit ribosomal RNA
Source: RNAcentral